RNAcentral lists this long non-coding RNA (800 nucleotides) under Salvia miltiorrhiza (redroot sage). Its description in RNAcentral is "long non-coding RNA (SMIL_LNC002549)". The record is from RNAcentral. Lineage: Eukaryota; Viridiplantae; Streptophyta; Magnoliopsida; Lamiales; Lamiaceae.
UGAACCAUCGCUGCCCCUGCUCGAACUCCGGCGAGCCAGCAUCAUUCAAGGCAAAGCUAAGUUCGAACUUAUUUCUACAGUAUAAUAGGGAUUUGUUUUGUAUACGUCACUCACUUAUUGCUGUCCUUUUAUUAUUGCAUAUAUGUUGCUGGGAGGCUCUAUUGCAUAUCUGUACAUGGUUCGCGACGCCUAGUUGUUUUUCCAAUUUGGUGCAGGCCAUAAAUCAUCUUGAUUCCUAUUUUCGAUUAUGCAAGAGAUUAAACUAAGCAUGUAGUUGUUUCUAUAUCAUAAGAGUUCUUACUGACUUUGUGAUUGCUAAGCCCCUUAAGUAUAUAGACUCAUUUAUGAACUCAGUAUUUUUUUUUUGGUUAAAAGAUGCCUUGAUGGGUAUGAGCAUGUAACAUUGACUAGAAUAACUGAGUUUAGCAAUUACCUUGUAAUUGUUUGGUGUUUGGUGGCUGCUGCUAUUGAUUUCAGUAGGAGAAUAACUGAAAUAAAAAUGAUUCCUUAACGAAUGCAGGUGAACUAUGGAAGAAUGGGGAAGUUCAAGCUACAACUUACCUCUUCGAAAUCAAGGCUGGAGUUAAAAGAAACAACCCUCCCUCUCUGAACUUUGGUGCGCCUAAAAGAAGGAAAAGAAUUAUGGCUGGUGUUGUAUUAUUUUUUUUUAAGUGAAGUUGGCUACUUGACUAUCUUAAUUCCAUAAGAGAGCUUACAAGUGAAGGAAUAGGAUUAGGUAUAAGGUGUGCGGCUGAAAGACCGCUACUUUGUACUAUAGCAUGACUGUGAGUAGGUGGCCG